CAGCAGCCGCGGUAACACGGAGGGUGCAAGCGUUGUCCGGAUUUAUUGGGCGUAAAGGGCUCGCAGGCGGUUUCUUAAGUCUGAUGUGAAAGCCCCCGGCUCAACCGGGGAGGGUCAUUGGAAACUGGGAAACUUGAGUGCAGAAGAGGAGAGUGGAAUUCCACGUGUAGCGGUGAAAUGCGUAGAGAUGUGGAGGAACACCAGUGGCGAAGGCGACUCUCUGGUCUGUAACUGACGCUGAGGAGCGAAAGCGUGGGGAGCGAACAGGAUUAGAUACCCCCGUAGUCCCUGUCUCUUAUAC
RNAcentral lists this ribosomal RNA (301 nucleotides) under uncultured bacterium. Its description in RNAcentral is "partial 16S ribosomal RNA". It matches the Rfam family "Bacterial small subunit ribosomal RNA", at positions 509 to 807 of the family's 1533-position model. The record is from RNAcentral.